UAUCGUAAUUGAAGAGGUUUGGAAAGACCCACCACAGAAGGUAAUAGUCCUGUAUGUUAAACGAGAAGACUUCAGAUAUGAUCCAGAGUACCACGGGACACGUGAAACCCUGUGGGAAGCAGGAGGGACCACCCUCCAAGGCUAAAUACUACCUAGUGACCGAUAGCGUAUAGUACCGUGAGGGAAAGGUGAAAAGAACCCCGGGAGGGGAGUGAAAUAGAACCUGAAACUCUGCACUUACAAGCUGUGGAAGCACAUUUCUUGUGUGACCGCGUACUUUUUGUAGAACGGGCCAACGAGUUACGUUAAGUAGCAAGGUUAAGCACUUAAGGUGCGGAGCCGUAGCGAAAGCGAGUUUUAACUGAGCGUUCAGUUACUUGACGUAGACCCGAAACCGGGCGACCUACCCAUGAGCAGGAUGAAGCGAAAGUAAAUUUCGUGGAGGUCCGAACCACGAGCGUUGAAAGCUCGGGGAUGACUUGUGGGUAGCGGUGAAAUUCCAAUCGAGCCCGGAGAUAGCUGGUUCUCCCCGAAAUAGCUUUAGGGCUAGCCUCAAGGUGAGAGAUACGGAGGUAGAGCACUGAAUGUCCUAGGGGGUAUUGCACCUACCGAAGACUAUCAAACUCCGAAUGCCGUCAUCUUAUACUUGGGAGUCAGACUGUGGGUGAUAAGAUUCAUAGUCGAAAGGGCAACAGCCCAGAUCGUCAGCUAAGGUCCCUAAAUGUAAGUUAAGUGGUAAAGGAUGUGGGAUUGCACAGACAACCAGGAUGUUGGCUUAGAAGCAGCCACUCAUUCAAAGAGUGCGUAAUAGCUCACUGGUCGAGUGAUCCUGCGCCGAAGAUUUCCGGGGCUAAAACUUACUACCGAAGCUACGGCAUCAGUAAUGAUGGGUAGGGGAGCUUCCCAUACGGGUUGAAGCAUGACCGUAAGGACAUGUGGACAGUAUGGGAGUGAGAAUGUUGGCAUGAGUAGCGAGAUGUGGGUGAGAAUCCCACAGGCCGUAAACCCAAGGUUUCCAGGGGAAGGUUCGUCCGCCCUGGGUUAGUCGGGACCUAAGCUGAGGCCGAAAGGCGUAGGUGAUGGACAACAGGUUGAUAUUCCUGUACUACCGAUAACCGUUUGAGAGAUGGGAUGACACAGUAGGAUAAGCUAAGCACACUGUUGGUUAUGUGUGCCCAAGCAUUGAGGCAGUCAAAGUAGGCAAAUCCGCUUUGAUAAUGCUGGGAUGUGAUGGGGAGCGAAAUUUAGUAGCGAAGUAGCUGAUUUCACACUGUCAAGAAAAGUCUCUAUCGAGGUUAAAGGUACCCGUACCGCAAACCGACACAGGUGGGUGAGGAGAGUAUCCUAAGGCCAGCGAGAGAACUGUUGUUAAGGAACUCGGCAAAAUGACCCCGUAACUUAGGGAUAAGGGGUGCCACCAUCAGGUGGCCGCAGAGAAUAGGCCCAAGCGACUGUUUACCAAAAACAUAGGUUUCUGCUAAGUCGCAAGACGAUGUAUAGGAGCUGACGCCUGCCCGGUGCUGGAAGGUUAAGGGGAUCUGUUAGAGCAAUCGAAGCAGUGAACUUAAGCCCCAGUAAACGGCGGCCGUAACUAUAACGGUCCUAAGGUAGCGAAAUUCCUUGUCGGGUAAGUUCCGACCCGCACGAAAGGCGUAACGAUUUGGGCACUGUCUCAACAACAGACUCGGUGAAAUUGUAAUUCCGGUGAAGAUGCCGGAUACCUGCGACAGGACGGAAAGACCCCAUGGAGCUUUACUGUAGCUUGACAUUGGGUCUUGGUACUACAUGUACAGGAUAGGUGGGAGGCUUUGAAACCAGGACGCCAGUUUUGGCGGAGCCAUCCUUGGGAUACCACCCUUGUAGUACUGGGACUCUAAUCAUAGGCCAUGAAUCUGGUCUUGGGACACUGUCAGGUGGGCAGUUUGACUGGGGCGGUCGCCUCCCAAAAGGUAACGGAGGCGCUCAAAGGUUCUCUCAGUACGGUCGGAAAUCGUACGUAGAGUGUAAAGGCAAAAGAGAGCUUGAUUGCAAGACAUACAGGUCGAGCAAGGAUGAAAAUCGGACUUAGUGAUCCGGUGGUUCUGCGUGGAAGGGCCAUCGCUCAACGGAUAAAAGCUACCCUGGGGAUAACAGGCUUAUCUCCCCCAAGAGUCCACAUCGACGGGGAGGUUUGGCACCUCGAUGUCGGCUCAUCACAUCCUGGGGCUGUAGUAGGUCCCAAGGGUUGGGCUGUUCGCCCAUUAAAGUGGUACGCGAGCUGGGUUCAGAACGUCGUGAGACAGUUCGGUCCCUAUCCGUCGCAGGCGUAGGAAAUUUGAGAAGACCUGUCCUUAGUACGAGAGGACCGGGAUGGACGUACCUCUGGUGUACCAGUUGUCCUGCCAAGGGCAUGGCUGGGUAGCUAUGUACGGAAUGGAUAAGCGCUGAAAGCAUCUAAGCGCGAAGCCAACUUCAAGAUAAGAUUUCCCACCGCAAGGGUAAGACCCCAGAAAGACUAUCUGGUUGAUAGGUCGAAGGUGUAAGUGCAGCAAUGUAUUUAGCUUAUCGAUACUAAUAGGUCGAGGACUUGACCAA
Molecule: ribosomal RNA, 2574 nt
Filed under: Clostridioides difficile DA00244
Lineage: Bacteria; Bacillati; Bacillota; Clostridia; Peptostreptococcales; Peptostreptococcaceae
Description: bacterial LSU rRNA
Rfam family: Bacterial large subunit ribosomal RNA
Source: RNAcentral